RNAcentral lists this ribosomal RNA (1389 nucleotides) under Triticum aestivum (bread wheat). Its description in RNAcentral is "partial small subunit ribosomal RNA". The record is from RNAcentral. Lineage: Eukaryota; Viridiplantae; Streptophyta; Magnoliopsida; Poales; Poaceae.
AUGGCCGCCGCCUCGUCCUCCUCCUGCGGCGGCGCCGGCUGCGGGGCCCACUGCUCCUCCUCCACCUCGUCAUCCGUAGAGGAUGCUCCGGAGGGGAUUCUGGACCGUCUCUCCAUAUCCGGUGCCGCUGCCUCCUGCGGCAAGUGCGGCGGCGGCGCCGUCGUCGUGGUUGCCGGAGGCGUCGGUCUGUGCGGCGAGUGCUUGCGCGCCCAGCUGUUCGGGAAGUUCAAGCUCGCCGUCAUAAGCAACGCCAUGGUUCGGCCAACCGACUCCGUCCUCGUCGCCUUCUCCGGCGGCCCCGCCUCCAGGGUGGCUCUGCAAUUCAUACAUGAGAUGCGGUCCAAGGCAAUCGAAAGCUGGGACGCCAGCAAUUCGCAAGCCCUACCGGUCUUCAAUGUUGGGGUGGCCUUUGUCAACGAGAGUGCUUUGUUGUCAAAGACCGAAUGUGAAGUUGAGCAGGCAACUGAAGAUAUAAAGUCAAUUGUGUCGAGUUUGUUACCGGGAGAUAAAGCAAUGCACCUUGCCUCUCUUGAUGAUGUGUUCUCCUCGGAAUCAAAAGAUGGGGAAAGCAGGCUGAGGGAGCUAGUUGGCAUGAUUGCUGAUGAUACUGGGAGGGAGGAUCUUCUUCAGUGCUUGCGCAUGCUUUCGUUGCAGAAGAUUGCACUGGAAAAUGGGUACACCAAGAUCAUGCUGGGAUCAUGUGCUUCUACAAUAGCAUGUCAUGUGCUAUCUGCAACAGUAAAGGGCCAAGGUUAUUCCUUACCAGCUGAUAUCCAAUAUGUUGAUACACGGUGGGAAGUGCCUGUCGUUCUUCCACUUCGUGAUUGCCUGGCCCAAGAGCUUAGACUGCUCUGUGAAUUUGAUAGUUUAAAGACACAGCAACUUCUUGAUAGGCCUUGCAGUGGCAUCAAUGGCUUAGUCGCAUCUUUUGUUGCACGACUAAGGGAGGAGAAUCCUUCUCGUGAGCAUACUAUUGUAAGAACUGCACAAAAACUUAAGCCAUUCCCUUUUAACAAGUUCUCAGCAAAUGGCUAUCAUGAUUUCCUGCCGUCGCGGCUGCGUCCCAAGUUCCAGGAUGUUGACAACGAUGAGUCUGCUUUCUCUGAGCUUCUCUGCCUGAUAUGUCGAAGUCCAUUCAGUGAAUCAGAACUCCAGAAUUUGGAAAGCACAAGGCACAAGUCUCAGAAGAAAAUUGAUCUAUAUACUGCUUAUUGCUGUCAAAGCUGUCAUUUCCAGAUUCUACCUGGUGGUAGAGACCUGUAUGACCAUUUCUUUUCACUACUACCAAGGUUCUGGACUGAGAGAGUAGAUACUGCAUCUGCCAGCCAUAGCUCGCUAAGAGAUCAAAUAGAAGACUAUCUUCUUGAAGACGAUGAUGAUGGGAACUGA